This 229-nucleotide unclassified non-coding RNA is filed under the name uncultured Glomus. RNAcentral describes it as "partial internal transcribed spacer 2". The record is from RNAcentral. Lineage: Eukaryota; Fungi; Glomeromycota; Glomeromycetes; Glomerales; Glomeraceae.
AACAAACCAUCGAUUUCGUUGCUUUUUUUUUUAAAAGGUGAUGUUUAUCGGAUUUGAGCCGUCUUUUUUUUUUUAUAUUUAAGUGGCUUAAAAUUGAUUUUUUUGGUAUGAUCGAAGCGUAUUUUAUGAUCAAUUUUUGGUUAAAGAAACGCAUACGCGUACCGUUAUUUGUAUGAUGUAAUACGUUUGACUAUUGGAUUUAGUUCAUUCGUAUACGAUAUUUUUCAAU